CGGCGAUCUCGCGAGAGUCACGUGGCGGCGGCGGCGCGUCCCGCCCCCCGGAAGCGCGGGGAGAGGCGAGAGCGGCGCCGAAAUGGGUCUGCUUUCAGAAGAGGCAGUGCACUAGAUGUGGUGCCUGGGAGCAGGAUUAGUCAUGGCAUCAGAACUGUGUAAAACAAUCUCUGAGGCAAAGCUGGAAAGGCACAAGAACUUGUUCUUAAAUUACAGAAAUCUCCAUCACUUUCCUUUGGAGUUACUGAAAGAUGAGGGGCUACAGUACUUGGAGAGACUUUAUAUGAAAAGAAAUUCCCUGACCACACUGCCAGAAAACCUUGCACAGAAGCUUCCAAACCUCGUGGAAUUGUACCUUCAUUCAAAUAACAUAGUUGUUGUACCUGAAGCGAUUGGCUCCCUCGUUAAACUGCAGUUUCUGGACCUCAGUGAUAAUGCCCUUGAAAUUGUGUGUCCAGAGAUUGGCCGCCUCAGAUCUUUACGUCAUCUUCGCUUGGCUAACAACCAGCUGAAAUAUUUACCUGCAGAGGUUGGAGACCUGAGGGAACUGCAAACGCUGGACAUUUCAACCAAUCGUUUGAUAACGUUACCUGAAAGGCUGCAUAUGUGCCUUUCGCUGCAGUACUUGACUGCAGACCGGAACCACCUGUGGUACGUGCCCCGCCACCUGUGCCAGCUGCCGAGCCUCAAUGAGCUCUCCAUGGCUGGAAACCGCCUGGCGUUUCUGCCACUUGAUUUAGGUCGUUCUCGGGAGCUACAAUAUGUUUACGUGGAUAACAAUAUUCACCUGAAAGGCCUGCCAUCAUAUCUGUAUAAUAAAGUCAUUGGUUGCAGUGGUUGUGGUUCUCCAAUUCAAGUUUCAGAAGUGAAACUGCUCUCUUUCUCAUCGGGCCAGUUAACAGUGUUCCUGCCUGCAGAGGUGAAAUCUAUAGGGACAGAAACAGAUCAUGUGCUGCCUUUGCAAGAAUUGGCCAUGAGGACCCUCUAUAACACCUACUGCAGGUUUUUAAAAGAUUUGAACUUUCUGACUCCAAUCUCACUACCCAAAAGCCUCUUGGAAUUGCUGCACUGUCCCUUGGGACACUGCCACCGCUGCAGCCAGCCCAUGUUUACCAUUGUCUACCCAAAGCUCUUUCCCUUAAGGGAAACUCCAAUGGCAGGAUUGCAUCAAGGCAGUCGAGUGCGUCUGCAGGAUUCACAGGUCAAGUAAACGAGCCUACACAGACUUCCUGAUUUGCUGGAUAGUACAGUUAUAGAAGGGACUCAAAACUGGGAUAUGGUUCAGGGAAUAUUGCCCACAUGUAGAUAAAGAUUAAAAAUACCUCUAAGGAGGACAACUGUUAGUUUUGUGGCAUACUGCUGCUCCACCCAGUGUCUGCAGACUUUUGACCUACUGAGUUGAUAAACAUUUAAAGCUACUCAGGAGUGCUGCCAGUUUAAAGCUGCAUUAGACCUUGUAUCCCAUUGGUACUUGGAGUACUGUGUGUGUGCGCGUGUGCCAAAGCAGCAGAAGUGCCCCGUCGGGAACACUAAGAGGCACUUAAAUCCUGCCCUAUCGAAUUUGGAUGAACUGCAGAAACUUUACAGAAGUGUAAAUACCAAGCUUUUAAAAAUAUUAACUUCUCUCUCCUCCAAGACAGCAUACAAACCAAACAAAUUCACAAGCUCUGACGUCAAGAUUUCCAGUAGUUUUCAAAUGUGCCUGUCGUCAGGUUGACCCAUUGCAUUAUUUGAGGCAGUUUUCAUUCCUCUGAAGGGGGAAAAGAAAAAGGUCCAGUUAUGACAAGUCAGUUUUCACUUAUUCAGCCCCUCAUCCUCGUCAUCCCUAUACCUGGAUUCAGAUUCAUAGAUUUAAGUCUACAGAAACCCUCAAUCCCAGUGACUUUCCCAUAGAAUUUAGCUUUAUUUUCUCUCACAAUACUUUCCCCAGCAGAGUUAUCCCAGUUAUAUACCAAGCCUUUCACAGUCAACUGUGCUAUUUAAAUCCACAUAUUAAAAGCAGAUCUUUCUUUCUGGUAUCAUUAGGAGCUUCAGUGAUUUAACUGGAGUAACUAGGAUAUGUCUGGAGACUAAAGAUCCUGUUUUGGUAAGGAAGGCUGGUACUGAUGUCUACACUGAAAUUGUCUUGCUCCAGCUUGUUUGAGGGUGUCUUUUCUUUAUUUUCAUUAGUUGAGGUUUUGAUUGCUAAAAACGCUUUCCUUUUUCGUUCUUCGAGUUCUUCAGGAGGAAGACAAUUUAAGUACAAUUUUCACAUGAAGAAAAUAGUAAGAUGAUUGUCAAUAUUUAUCUAUAUUAUAUUUAUACCAUUGCAGACUAUAGAUCUGCAAAGAAUUGAUCUUUGUCUUUUUCUAGACUCAGCAUUUGGCUGAUGUGUGGAAGUGUGUCAGUGGAGUGUGUUAACCUUGGAGAAGGCUGGAAUUCUGGUAUGGGGAGGGAUGUAUAUGUCCAUGCAUAGGUGUAUUUGCGCACAUAGAUAUCUUCAAAAAAGGGCUGUAAUUUCUCUUUUUUUGGUACAUUAAUGGUAAAUUUAGCACAAAUCUCCACUCAUGAUCGUAUUUGUGGGAAUCGUUUUUUGAUGGAUCUUGUUCAUUUUAAAUAAAGGACUGAGGAUGGAAAGAAGGCCCAAAAUGUCUGCAUGACUUAAAAUUCUCUUUACACUGAAGUGGUUUAUACAAAAUUAGUCCCUCUUGAUUUGUUUUGGAAAAUAUAUAUAUAUGUAGUUUAAUACAACGUGUUCUUUUUUUAUUUUCUAUUUCUUAGGUGUAAACUAUGUGUUGAUUUAGCACAGUGUGCUACUCUGUGGUAGUUAGUUACAAGCUGAAAUAGAUACGAAUGAAACUGUUAUAAAAAUGGCAAGAUAAAGACACUUAUUUGGUAGUAUAUUAGCAUAUGUUGUGGUGAGGUGUGCAUACUUUGAAGGGAGGAGGCAUUGAAAUGUUUUCCUUUUGCCAAAGAAGCAUUUGUUCCCGCUGCAGGAUUCCUGGCAUCUCUUCAAUAAAUAGAGUAUCUUAAGAGCUUAAGAGUACCAAAAAGGCAGUUUUUGAGGGUAGAAUUUUUAGGUUGUGCUUGUUACUUGUAAAAGCUUUGCUGAUUUUAUUGGGUUGGUUUUAGAGAGUUGAAUUAGCAUUAAGAAAUGUUGAACUUAAUCCUUCAGGAAUGCAAGUAUCAUCUACUGUUUAAGAAUUGUGAAACUUUCUGAAACAAACCCCAUUUAUUAAAUCUGCUUUGCAGUAGGUGAAAGAGCCACAUCCAGGCAGACGUAGUAUAGGUUUUCUGACUCAUUUCACUGAUUUGUUUCAAUGUUGGUGUCCUCAGCAGCCCUUCCCCCUGCAGGGGGGUUUACUGCUGAAGCAGCAAAGUGAAUAUUUUCCUUUCCUUUAGUACCACCACUCAGCUGAAGAUGUAAAUUGCCUGUGUACAGCUAUGCCUGUAUCAGAAAUGUGCAAGUUAAUACAGAAUCAGUUUGUUUUGUUGGAUGGUAAGAGAAACAUGGUAGCCUAACAAAUACUAAUUUUUGAUACGAUACUUGGAUCAGGAAUUUUCAGUAUUAUUUUUACUGUGGUUUCUUCUGUCUUUGAAGGAGAUGUUUCAUUCAAAGUUUAUUUGUCCCCUCUUUGUAGCAACUUAGAGGCUUGAAAACGCAGUUUACUUCCGAGUUCAGGCUGUGAACAGUAUUUUGGAGUUAAAUCUUUUUUUUUAAAUGGCCUUAGCAUUGGUUUUAUUAAGAGUCAGAGUGGAGCUUAAUUUUAUUGUUUUUUUAAAUUAUUUAAUUUUUAUUUUCUUUCUUCUUCCCAUAUCUAUUUAUUUUUGUUGAGUUCAUAUCAGUCACUUUAUUCUUUCUACAAGUGCAGUUAAGAAGACAUUCUAGUCUGUUCUAUAAGCAGGAUGAAUCUUUAACAUUUUAAUGGAUGAUAUUUCGAGAGUGGAAUGUUCAAUGAAUAAAUGACUUCAACACAAUUGAAGCUAAAAUGUUAUACCCUAUUUUUUAUAACAAAAGGAAGAGGAAAACCAAUGUAUAGACUGAAAAUGCAGCUUAAAUUACUGUUUCUCUAGGGUUUUUUAAAUUUUUUUAUAUGGACAGUGUUUGUAUUCAUUUGUAACUUUGGGUGAUAUUGUUUUAGAUUAAAAUAAUUCCAUUCUCACUUGUCCAAAUUUUUCUCAAGUUGUUCUGCUGUAAGAUAUUUCAUAACUAGCUGACAUGAGAGCCAACUAUGCGAGCGGCAGAGGGGAAAGGGAGCUUGUUGCUUAUUGAACUGUGCAUCACUUGUUUUUCAAUAUGAGUUGUCACAAUACUUAGACUUCUCUUUAAUGUGUUUAUUUCUAGGUAAUUUUGGUUGCUUGCUCUUGUUUGUUGGGUUAGUUCACAUGGAGAUAAAUUUUUCCUUGUACUGCAAAAAAUCUAUCUCCAGCAGUUGAAAACAAUGACCCGUUUUAAAGGCUUUUUGUCAUAAAAGUAUAUCUUAACUCUUUGCUUAGGCUGGGAGCAGGAGAGGUUUCCAUUUUUUUUUCCUAGGCAUGAUAGAGAGAAAGUUGCAGGAGAGAAAUGAAAGGAAUUAAGUGUUUAACCCAUCAAUAUUGCUGUAAAAUUUUUCUGAGUGAAGAUGAACUCCUAAUGUGAUGAGGGAGCACAGGCAUAAUUUUUGUUUUAUGUUGUGAUAGCAGGCACCAUGUUAUUAAAAUUGGGACCCUACUGCUUAUAGAAAGAGCUUUUUGUUCUGCCAUAAAGGAAACCGAGGAAUCUGUCUUUGUUUAAAAAUACUUCUUGAGCGGUUUUACUGUGGACACUGUUACUUCUGGAGCACUUUUCUUGGAACCUUCCUGUUACUUUCGCGGAGGAUCAGAAACACAAAUGUCCUUUCCUGUGCAAAGAACAAGCUCCAAUAUCAAGAAGUGCGUAUUUUUCUGUUUUGGGCUGUUAAAUCUCUUGGGCUCCUACUGAAAUUUAUUACAAACCUUCUAUUUACUUCAUUGUGGUGAGGUUAAGAUCUUAAAUUGAGCAGAGCAGUUUAUUGCCAAGUUGGCUUCAAUUUUUCUAUAUCAAAUUCUGCUGAAUCCCUUUUUCUGGCAUGAAGGGAGGACGAGACUGUUGUAACACCGGUGUGGUGACAGCGUGUCAGGUUUUACUGGCAUCACAGCCACGCUGAAGACUGGAGAGUGACAAACCUUUCACUAGAGAGGAUGGCUUUUUUUUUUUUGCAGGCCAGUGUGGCCCCAUCUGUACCACUGAUAAUAGAAGAACUUUUGCCUUGAUGUCAGUGGAGGAUCAAGUUGUAAUUGAUGAGAGAGAAGAAUGUGUUUUACUAUCUUUGUAUUUCUUGCAAAAACUGGGACAGUGACACUGGAGUCCGUGCCUGCUGCUCGGCAGCCUCACUCUGCAGCUGAAUUUAUGUAAUUCCAAGACAUAACUCUCUUUACUUCUUGCCUCCCUUUUAAUGCUAUUCACGUUGUUGCAAAAUGUUAGAGUUAACUUGUGAUGGGAGAGGCUGAGUAAAUUGAAUCCAGAGUUUUUAUUACUUUUGGUAUUACAGACCUAUUUUGUAAGAGACCAAAGGUCUGGUAGAAAGAAAUGGCAAGGUUCAUGUGAAGUCUUCAUUGCUUUUGCUUUUAUGUGCCCUUCUUUGGAUUACAACUUGAACUUGGAUUGCAACUGAGUUUGUUCUGUGUCUGUUGAAAGCAUAUGUGUAUUGCUUUCUUUGCUCUGUAUUAACCAAAUGUCAAACAGUUGAAGGUGAGCUUGCUAGAUGUUUUAUUUAAAGUUAGUGGUGCAAUUUAUUGUAUGUGCUUGUUAAUAAACUAUAUUUUUUGAUAGAACUACAGUCCAUUAAGAUUAACUAAAUUCUUGCUCCCAAGGCCAUCAAACUAUGUUAGGAUGUAGCAUUUAAUUUAUAUUUUGGUUCAUUUGCAUGGUAAUUGGCUAAUAAGUCUCUUUUCCCAAGGCUGAAGAGGUGGGGUGAAGAUACUUCUUCAGACACUACCAAGCCCAAAACACCACUUCAGUUCACUUAAUCCUUUUGUCUCAGACAAGGUAGUUCAGCAAGAUCUUGCAUAAAAGGAACAAAACCCAUACAGAAACAUUAUUUUAGACCUUUUAUGGAUUGAUCAAAAGAAAAAUAACUUUCAUUAGGCUGUAUUAAGUGCCACCCUAUAGUCCAUAGAUGUGGCUGUGGUUCAUGUAUUAUUUACUAAGCAGCAUUCAGCAGUUUUUCACCCCUUGUCUAAAAGAUGUCUUAGGAACAGCGUUUCCAAAAAUAAGUAGAAAUUAAGCAUCUGUUUUUCCAGUUAUUUCAUUCCUUGCUGUGCAGCAUUUUGCUUCAGUCAAAGCUGCUACUCUGUAUUGUUCUGAUGAGUUCUUGGAGUUCGAUGCUGUCUGUACGUGUAUUGGGUGAGUACGAGCAUGUCCAUUCUCAAAUGAGACCUGUGUUGGUCAAGGUGGCUCUGAACUUCGGUUAUAAUGGAUGCCUUGAGGGGCUUAGAUACCAUUCAGACUUCCCUGAUGCUUGUUUGCUACUAAGUUGACUAUG
This is an RNA transcript of Cuculus canorus (common cuckoo), 6521 nucleotides long. It is a transcript of the gene named leucine rich repeat containing 28, with no coding region annotated. Lineage: Eukaryota; Metazoa; Chordata; Aves; Cuculiformes; Cuculidae. The record is from RefSeq and is a predicted model, not a curated record. The transcript has 11 exons.